RNAcentral lists this long non-coding RNA (477 nucleotides) under Gallus gallus (chicken). Lineage: Eukaryota; Metazoa; Chordata; Aves; Galliformes; Phasianidae. The record is from RNAcentral.
GAAUGACCAACUAGACAAGGGCUCUUUAUCCCAGGAGUCUUCAAACAAAAUCCUGUCACAGGCUGGGAAAAAAAAGGCCGGGGGAAGAACCUCUUCAUUCCUGAUGCGAGAUGUUGGAAGCGUCUAAAGCUCACAAGUGUUCAGAAAGUAAUUACAUGAAGUCAUGGACUAGAAAUCCACCAGGUGUUAUUACAUACGAAGACACUACUGGGAAAAAAAGUCAAUAUUGGCUUAGAUGAAUCCUUCAGCUGACCUGGGAUACCUGUUCCUUUCUAGAAGUCCCUCACUCGUCUGACUUUUCUCUUCACUGCUUUUCCUCUGAACUGCAUACAUAAUAGAACAGUUAGCAUUUAAAAUUUCAGGGGGUAAAAAGGGCAGUGGGCCUUUCCCUGUCACAAAGCAUUUGGAAGUUUCCUCUCAACUAGUAGGUUUCAGCUGUAAAAAAAGUAGAGUCAGAUGAAAAAUUCAAAGGUUUCA